Molecule: unclassified non-coding RNA, 209 nt
Filed under: Hevea brasiliensis (rubber tree)
Lineage: Eukaryota; Viridiplantae; Streptophyta; Magnoliopsida; Malpighiales; Euphorbiaceae
Source: RNAcentral
ACAAAUUGAAAUUUAGUAACCAACUGAAAUCAAUAAAAGUUCAAUGACCACAGAUGAAAUCAACCCUAUCACCAACAUGAUUAUAUUUUGAGAAAAAAAAAAUAGCAUUCUUCUUUCAAAAAGUAUAACUUUCUAUCUCCUGCCAACCCUAAAGUGGUCUUUAAUGAUGAACCCAUGAGUAUCAACUUCAGGCUAUACAUACUUCUGUA